UUGAAGUAAGCAUGUUGGAAAGGCCUAUUUAUAAGGACUUUGGGAAUUAAGUUAGAACAUUAGGUUCAAGAAGUGAGCCAAAGGAGAUAAUUUAAUUAUGAAAUAAGAUAUCAUCCAGAUUUUAAAAAUUCUAUCUUUUAAUUUAAAUCUUUUUAUUUAGUUUUAUGCUUUUUUUAAGUCGACCCAAUGAAUAAUACAUAAAAUUUC
Molecule: long non-coding RNA, 207 nt
Filed under: Lathyrus oleraceus (garden pea)
Lineage: Eukaryota; Viridiplantae; Streptophyta; Magnoliopsida; Fabales; Fabaceae
Description: Pisum sativum (pea) long non-coding RNA (PSAT_LNC035476)
Source: RNAcentral